Small nucleolar RNA from Tachyglossus aculeatus (Australian echidna), 138 nucleotides. Lineage: Eukaryota; Metazoa; Chordata; Mammalia; Monotremata; Tachyglossidae. The record is from RefSeq and is a predicted model, not a curated record.
CCCCUCUCAGGAUCGCACUUGGAGAGUUUCCAGUAUUCUACCACUCUCGGCUAGGAGAGGGAGAGUCAAGCAGAGGCCUACCCAUUCCAUUCCUAACUUGGGAAAUGGCUAGCAAGUGGAAGGCAAUUUGCUACAAGU